This 346-nucleotide ribosomal RNA is filed under the name uncultured eukaryote. RNAcentral's name for it is "SSU rRNA". It matches the Rfam family "Eukaryotic small subunit ribosomal RNA", at positions 594 to 945 of the family's 1831-position model. The record is from RNAcentral.
GUAGCGUAUAUUAAAGUUGUUGCAGUUAAAACGCUCGUAGUCGAACUUCGGGCCUGGCGGGAUGGUCCGCCUUACGGUGUGUACUAUUCUGCUGGGCCUUACCUCUUGGUGAGACCUCAUGCUCUUUAUUGGGUGUGGGGUGGAACCAGGAAUUUUACCUUGAGAAAAUUAGAGUGUUCAAAGCAGGCAAACGCCCGAAUACAUUAGCAUGGAAUAAUAGAAUAGGACGUGCGGUUCUAUUUUGUUGGUUUCUAGGAUCGCCGUAAUGAUUAAUAGGGAUAGUUGGGGGCAUUAGUAUUCAGUUGCUAGAGGUGAAAUUCUUGGAUUUACUGAAGACUAACUACUG